AUAUAUAUACUAGUUGAGCAUACGUGCAAAUGCACGUAACAAUUAUUUUAAUUUAUUUUAAAUAGAAUAGAUAAUAUAGAUAUAGAUAGAUAAUAUAAAUAUUAUAUUACAGAUAGAGAUAAAGAAGAAUUAAAUAAAAAUUCAUACUAGAUAUUCUUCGAUUGGCAAAAAUUUGGAUAAGCAAAAAUUUUUUUCUGUUGUAGAAAUAAACAGGAAAUAACAGUUUGUUUAAUUCUGUUAUUUAUUUUACUUAAUGAAAGAGAAAUUAAUUUUUUUUUUCGCCAAAAAAUGGGUCUGCCGACAAAACGAAAUUUGAAAUACGUGCUUUUAUAUAUAGUAUAGAUAUAUA
Molecule: long non-coding RNA, 349 nt
Filed under: Ananas comosus (pineapple)
Lineage: Eukaryota; Viridiplantae; Streptophyta; Magnoliopsida; Poales; Bromeliaceae
Description: long non-coding RNA (ACOM_LNC006699)
Source: RNAcentral